UACAGAGGUCUCGAGCGUUAGGCGGAAUCACUGGGCUUAAAGCGUGUGUAGGCGGAUUGCUAAGUACCUUGUGAAAUCCCACGGCUUAACCGUGGAACUGCUUGGUAUACUGGCUGUCUUGAGCCACUUAGGGGCAACCGGAACAAACGGUGGAGCGGUGAAAUGCGUAGAUAUCGUUUGGAACGCCAAUGGUGAAAACAGGUUGCUGGGAGUGUGCUGACGCUGAGGAGCGAAAGCCAGGGGAGCAAACGGG
Molecule: ribosomal RNA, 253 nt
Filed under: uncultured bacterium
Lineage: Bacteria
Description: partial 16S ribosomal RNA
Rfam family: Bacterial small subunit ribosomal RNA
Source: RNAcentral